UGAGUAACACGUGAGUAACCUGCCCUUAACUCUGGGAUAAGCCUGGGAAACUGGGUCUAAUACCGGAUAUGACUCCUCAUCGCAUGGUGGGGGGUGGAAAGCUUUUUGUGGUUUUGGAUGGACUCGCGGCCUAUCAGCUUGUUGGUGAGGUAAUGGCUCACCAAGGCGACGACGGGUAGCCGGCCUGAGAGGGUGACCGGCCACACUGGGACUGAGACACGGCCCAGACUCCUACGGGAGGCAGCAGUGGGGAAUAUUGCACAAUGGGCGAAAGCCUGAUGCAGCGACGCCGCGUGAGGGAUGACGGCCUUCGGGUUGUAAACCUCUUUCAGUAGGGAAGAAGCGAAAGUGACGGUACCUGCAGAAGAAGCGCCGGCUAACUACGUGCCAGCAGCCGCGGUAAUACGUAGGGCGCAAGCGUUAUCCGGAAUUAUUG
This 436-nucleotide ribosomal RNA is filed under the name Arthrobacter ginsengisoli. RNAcentral describes it as "bacterial SSU rRNA". It matches the Rfam family "Bacterial small subunit ribosomal RNA", at positions 107 to 556 of the family's 1533-position model. The record is from RNAcentral. Lineage: Bacteria; Bacillati; Actinomycetota; Actinomycetes; Micrococcales; Micrococcaceae.